This 421-nucleotide ribosomal RNA is filed under the name uncultured bacterium. RNAcentral's name for it is "bacterial SSU rRNA". It matches the Rfam family "Bacterial small subunit ribosomal RNA", at positions 355 to 773 of the family's 1533-position model. The record is from RNAcentral.
UAAGGAAUAUUGGUCAAUGGGCGGAAGCCUGAACCAGCCAUGCCGCGUGCAGGAAGACGGCCCUACGGGUUGUAAACUGCUUUUGUACGGGAAUAAACCUUGAUACGUGUAUCAAGCUGAAUGUACCGUAAGAAUAAGGAUCGGCUAACUCCGUGCCAGCAGCCGCGGUAAUACGGAGGAUCCGAGCGUUAUCCGGAUUUAUUGGGUUUAAAGGGUGCGUAGGCGGCCUUUUAAGUCAGGGGUGAAAGACGGCAGCUCAACUGUCGCAGUGCCUUUGAUACUGAAGAGCUUGAAUGCACUUGAAGUAGGCGGAAUGUGACAAGUAGCGGUGAAAUGCAUAGAUAUGUCACAGAACACCAAUUGCGAAGGCAGCUUACUAAAGUGUGAUUGACGCUGAGGCACGAAAGCGUGGGGAUCAAAC